GAUGAACGCUGGCGGCGUGCCUAAUACAUGCAAGUCGAGCGAACGGACGAGAAGCUUGCUUCUCUGAUGUUAGCGGCGGACGGGUGAGCAACACGUGGAUAACCUACCUAUAAGACUGGGAUAACUUCGGGAAACCGGAGCUAAUACCGGAUAAUAUUUUGAACCGCAUGGUUCAAAAGUGAAAGACGGUCUUGCUGUCACUUAUAGAUGGAUCCGCGCUGCAUUAGCUAGUUGGUAAGGUAACGGCUUACCAAGGCAACGAUGCAUAGCCGACCUGAGAGGGUGAUCGGCCACACUGGAACUAAGACACGGUCCAGACUCCUACGGGAGGCAGCAGUAGGGAAUCUUCCGCAAUGGGCGAAAGCCUGACGGAGUAACGCCGCGUGAGUGAUGAAGGUCUUCGGAUCGUAAAACUCUGUUAUUAGGGAAGAACAUAUGUGUAAGUAACUGUGCACAUCUUGACGGUACCUAAUCAGAAAGCCACGGCUAACUACGUG
Molecule: ribosomal RNA, 497 nt
Filed under: uncultured bacterium
Lineage: Bacteria
Description: partial 16S ribosomal RNA
Rfam family: Bacterial small subunit ribosomal RNA
Source: RNAcentral